UCCGAGUUGACCCCGGCGGUCUCCUACGAGUCCCCGGCAUAACCCGCUGGCAACAUAGGACAAGGGUUGCGCUCGUUGCGGGACUUAACCCAACAUCUCACGACACGAGCUGACGACAGCCAUGCAGCACCUGUGUCCCUGCCCCUUGCGGGGAGGAAUCCAUCUCUGGAAACCGUCAGGGCAUGUCAAGGGCUGGUAAGGUUCUGCGCGUUGCGUCGAAUUAAGCCACAUGCUCCGCCGCUUGUGCGGGUCCCCGUCAAUUCCUUUGAGUUUUAGCCUUGCGGCCGUACUCCCCCGGCGGGGUGCUUAAUGCGUUUGCGACGGCACGGAAGGGGUUGAUGCCUCCCACACCUAGCACCCAACGUUUACGGCUGGGACUAC
Molecule: unclassified non-coding RNA, 381 nt
Filed under: uncultured bacterium
Lineage: Bacteria
Description: contains 16S-23S intergenic spacer region
Source: RNAcentral